Long non-coding RNA from Carassius carassius (crucian carp), 676 nucleotides. RefSeq lists it as uncharacterized. The record is from RefSeq and is a predicted model, not a curated record. Lineage: Eukaryota; Metazoa; Chordata; Actinopteri; Cypriniformes; Cyprinidae. The transcript is spliced from 4 exons.
UGACAUCGCGCUAUUGCGCCAUUUUGCGACUACUUGGUGGUCUUUUUUGGAUCGCCAUCAGUUUAUCAGGCGGCCUGCGGUGCACUUACAGCUCAAACUGUGAAGCCAUAUUGUUGUAAAGUUGAUGACAAAUGAGGUCAUGGCCUGUUUCAGUAUGAAGUGGGGGAAGGGGAAGCUUGCUUUCACCAAGAUCAAUCUGUACACUGUUGUCACAGAGAGUGUCCAGAAAACAUCAAAAGGGACGGGGCAAAUAUUGCAGCGGCCACCGCCUUUUGUUUAAAAUAUGCCCCAGCAGAGCCGUCGCAAGGAGGGUGAGAGGCCCUGUGCAAAGUUGAUGUGCGAGGCCCUCUACAAUUUUGUGUGUGUGUGUGUGUGGUGGGGGAGGUUGCUGUAGUAAGGCAAAGCAAGUUUAUUUAUAUAGCAGAUUUCGUACACAAUGGUAAGUCAAAGUGCUUUACAUAAAAUUAAGUAAAAUAAUCAUGAAGAACAAAACUAAAACAAGCAAUUUUAAAACUUUGGAAAUUAUUUAAAAAUUGACUUGAAUUUAAAACAGUUAGAAAUAGAAAAUGAUAGAAAUAGAAAAUACAGUGAAUACAUAAAAUACAGUGCAAUCAGGUCGAACAUCACACAGUGCUCAUUCAAUAAAUGCACAGCUAAACAGAUGAGUUUUGAGUCU